GCAGUGUACGGUACCGGU
Molecule: unclassified non-coding RNA, 18 nt
Filed under: Chlamydomonas reinhardtii
Lineage: Eukaryota; Viridiplantae; Chlorophyta; Chlorophyceae; Chlamydomonadales; Chlamydomonadaceae
Description: small RNA Cre_1681
Source: RNAcentral